CUAGACUUCAAAUACAUUGUUAAAUUUGUAUUAUACAAUUGAAUCACUAUAAUUGGUAUAUAUAUAAAGAAUAUUAAAUGAUAAGGUUUGUGCAAUUUUUAUUUCUUAAAUUAUAUAGUUAUAAAUAUACAGUAGUUUUUAUUGAAACUUGGCAGUCACUAAAGUGAGACCCAUUAAGAAAGAAAUGGGGUGCAAGUUAGGAACUCUUGCUCCGAAUCUGACCUCUGUAUGAUGUAAAUUGUAAUCAGCAGCAGUGAAGAUUAUGAGCAGAGGUAUGCAAAUCUAUGUGCACCCUUAGGUUGGGUCUGCCAAGAAACUAUGGAACAAGUAACUCUGAAGAAGGAGUUGAAUCCGACAAGUGUGUAUGUCUAACUUGCAGUGAAUUCUUGGGAUGGCAAUAGGAGUCACCUAGAAAGAGAAGUGACGGAGGAUAGCUUGCAGAUGAGGGACCAUUAUGAUGACUACAAUGAAGAAUAUGAUAGAGGGAAGGUAAAGAAAGUUAAGAAAUGGCGAGGAAAUUCUAAAAGAAUAUAUCCUUACAAUCCAUUCCAAAAAGCUUGGGAUUCAAAAAAAUAUAAAAAAUAUGAGCACCAAUCAUUUAGGCAAAAUAAACAUUUUCAGAACAGAAAGUAUUUCAACAAUCAUUAUCAUCAGUGGAAUUAUUCAAAAUGAUGCAACUAUAUUGGGACAAAAUUCAAGAUUAAAUUAAUGCAAUGUGUAUGGAUGUGUUUGUGUUUGUUCAUUUUUGUCUAUUGUUAUGUGAAGAUACCUAAAAGAUGUACAUAUUGGGUUGCUUGAGUAUGAUGCAAAUUCUAAAUAUACUUUUAGAUAAAGAACUAUAAAAAUAGGAAAAAAUGUAUUAUUGGCAUUUUGUAGUUAUUGCUCAUUUACAAGGAAAUAUAUUGGACAUGAUUCAAACUGAAUGUGCCUCUGCAUCAUGUGACAAAAUUUUGUAUAUGAUUCUAGGAAUGGUGAAGGAUUUUAGAGCAGAAAGCAUAAUUUUAUAUAUACAGUAUAUAUAUAAAUUCAGCAGAACAAAUUAUGGUGAAAAA
This 1052-nucleotide long non-coding RNA is filed under the name Androctonus crassicauda. Lineage: Eukaryota; Metazoa; Arthropoda; Arachnida; Scorpiones; Buthidae. The record is from RNAcentral.